AUGUGAUCGUCUCUCGCAUAUCAAUAAGCGGAGGAAAAGAAACUAACAAGGAUUCCCCUAGUAACGGCGAGUGAAGCGGGAAGAGCUCAAAUUUGAAAUCUUAUAGGGUUUCCCUUUACGAAUUGUAGUUUAAAGAAGUGUUUUCUGUUGAGGUUUUGGUAAAAGUUCUUUGGAAUAGGACAUCAUAGAGGGUGAGAAUCCCGUAUUUGACCUUUACUUUCAACUUUGUGAUACACUUUCAAAGAGUCGGAUUGUUUGGGAAUGCAGUCCAAAAUGGGUGGUAAAUUUCAUCUAAAGCUAAAUAUUGGCGAGAGACCGAUAGCGAACAAGUACCGUGAGGGAAAGAUGAAAAGAACUUUGAAAAGAGAGUUAAACAGUACGUGAAAUUGUCAAAAGGGAAGCGUUUGACACCAGUGUUGUUUUUCUGAAAAUCAAUUAAAGAACUGUUUAUGCUAAGUUGUUUAGACUUUAUCAGCUAACUGUUUAGUUUUGAGCUUUUCUUUAAUGCACUUUCCAGUUAACAAGUCAACAUCAAUUUCUUUUGCUGUAAAAAAGCUUGAGGAAGGUGGCUUGAGAUUCGUCUUAAGUGUUUAUAGCCUCUUGCCUAUGCAGUCGGAGAGAUUGAGGUCUGCAGCGUAGAUCCUUCGGGGCUAAAUGCAUUUGUGCUAAGUUAUAGCAUUUUAUAGACAACUUGUUGACUAUGAUUUGUCUUGUAGCUUACUCGCUUAUGUUAUUUUACCUACGCUUAGGAUGUUGAUAUGCAUGACUGAUAU
Molecule: ribosomal RNA, 773 nt
Filed under: uncultured Neocallimastigales
Lineage: Eukaryota; Fungi; Neocallimastigomycota; Neocallimastigomycetes; Neocallimastigales
Description: partial large subunit ribosomal RNA
Rfam family: Eukaryotic large subunit ribosomal RNA
Source: RNAcentral